GUGAAAUUGUCUGCCUGCUAUGUGACAACAAGCUAAGCUCUGGGUGACUAUUCCUGUAAGACACGUCCUGUGCUUAGCGCUGCUAUUAUGGGGUGAACAGACACAGCAAAGAAUCAAUUAAAACUCUGACACAUUAAAUGGAGCUCCAAGACCUGUUUCACAGGUUUCCAGAAAGGAAAAUAAUCAUGUUACAUUAUACUUUGGAAGCCGAUUGAGGCAAGAUUUCUGAGACAAGUUCUGAGGUUUCCAAGACAGACUUUAGCUUUUCUAAAUCAUUUUUUAAGUGCUAUGUAAAGGAUUACAGCAUUCAAUUCUCCAGUAGUCCAACAGCAUCAUGGUGGAGCAAGAGGGAUUAUCCUGUGGGCAUCCUCCGGAAAACUGUAAGUUCCUUUCAAAAACUGCAUUUAAAGAAAUGAUGAAAAUAUUGCAGUGCUUACAUUUAUGCCCAUUUUGAAGUGAAAGCCAACAUUAAGGGAGGAAAAUCAGAAGCAUACUAAAACUGUAAUUCCUUUCUAUGUUAUAACAGGGCUCUAAUACAAAAAGAGGCAGCCAUUGCAUAGGAACUCCCUUUUAGGAGAAAUUCCGGAAUUUUAGGAAGUCUCACAAAAAGUGAAUGAGAGGGCUAAUGGUAGAAUAUGAAUAAAGUUUGUGGUUAUCAUGGCUUAAACUACACUUCUAUGACAGCAAGUGGGAACGUUAAUGAUAAGAACAACAUGGUUUUGGCUCAUUCAGAUAUCUGUGUAAACCAUCUCUCAGUCUCAUUGCCUGAAUAACUUCUCUCAACCUGAACAAAUAGAAGAUUUUGAAGUUUGGGCAGUAUAUUUUCAGAAGUGCUGCCUACAAAUGAGCUUCAGUGGACAUAAGGAAUUGAACUGGACCAAAGGAAGUCAAGUGUCAGCAAUGAUCAUUGUUGAGGGACCAGUAAGGCUUGCCAACACAAUUGGCGUGUCAGGAAGUGAUCUGGAGGACUCAGCUAAGCCCCAAUCUUUCAGAUUAAUUCAGAAGUAAAGAACUAGAAAGAAAAGACAACGUGACAGUAGAGUGUAGAUGUCAUAAUUUCAAGCCAUUUCACCAGGAGAGAGUCAGGCAGACAGAGAGAAAGAAAAGGAAACCCGGAAUGGAUGGACAAGACUCGACCUGCCCACUCACAUGUUCAGCUUUGGUUUAGAGCAGGACAUUUUCAGAGGAAAUGCUCUGAUGGUGCAGGAAUCCGUUCA
This 1217-nucleotide long non-coding RNA is filed under the name Homo sapiens (human). RNAcentral's name for it is "HSALNT0153874". Lineage: Eukaryota; Metazoa; Chordata; Mammalia; Primates; Hominidae. The record is from RNAcentral.